UACAGAGGUCCCAAGCGUUGUUCGGAUUCACUGGGCGUAAAGGGUGCGUAGGUGGCCAGGUAAGUUCGGUGUGAAAGCUCGGAGCUUAACUCCGAAAUGUCAUUGAAUACUAUCUGGCUAGAGGGUCGGAGGGGAGACUGGAAUUCUCGGUGUAGCAGUGAAAUGCGUAGAGAUCAUGAGGAAGACCAGUGGCGAAGGCGGGUCUCUGGACAGUUCCUGACACUGAGGCACGAAGGCCAGGGGAGCAAACGGG
RNAcentral lists this ribosomal RNA (253 nucleotides) under uncultured bacterium. RNAcentral's name for it is "partial 16S ribosomal RNA". It matches the Rfam family "Bacterial small subunit ribosomal RNA", at positions 524 to 776 of the family's 1533-position model. The record is from RNAcentral.